CCGACGCCAGGAUGGGAGAGGAGGUGGGCGACUUGGAUAAGAAAGGCCGAGGGUUCCAGCCUUUCGGACACGGAGCUCAGGGAAUGGUGCAAAGGAAAGAUCGCUCAUUAUAAAGUACCGCGUUAUAUGCUGUUCAAGGACGAGUUCCCACGGACGGUCACGGGCAAGAUACAGAAGUUCAAGAUGCGGGAACAGACCAUCGAGGAGCUCAACUUGAAGGCGUAAAAUGUGUGUGGCUUGUGUGUGUGUGUGGCUUGUGCUAGUACGUGUGUGUGCUUGUGCGUGUGCUUGUGUUGUUUGUUUGUUUGAUUGUUUUACAGAGGAUCUUGUACUAACAAUAUAAUUAGGGGAUAUGUGAUAAAUGUUUAUCAAAGUCU
Penaeus monodon (black tiger shrimp) is the source of this 377-nucleotide long non-coding RNA. RefSeq lists it as uncharacterized. The record is from RefSeq and is a predicted model, not a curated record. The transcript has 2 exons. Lineage: Eukaryota; Metazoa; Arthropoda; Malacostraca; Decapoda; Penaeidae.